CUUUGAAGCUAAAGAUCUGCACCCUUCAUACAAGCAUGGUCUCCGUCUAUCCUGCUGGAAAGAAUGACACAGUCUCAGGCCCUCAGAAUGCAGGUGGUCUAUGAGGAGCUCUGUUCAAAGUCAUUAUUUCCGUAGCAGAUUCUGGAUAUCCUGAGCUAGCGAGGAUCCGGAACAGCUUGAGGGUCGGCCAAUGGAGCCGACCAAGGCAGAACGGGAAUACAAAUCAAAUCUCGAUGAGAAAAAUCGCAGGAACGACACACCCAACAGGAUCUGGUACUGCCCUGAGCAAGAGCCCAAAAAGGAACACCAAAAAUCUCUCUACUUCAGGUGGACUCUCGUUUUUGGGAGAGGGGCGUGGCCACCAGUCAUCAGUGUGGCUGCGAGGAGUGAAGGUUGGGCUGCACUGACAGCACUGUGGUCGGUCAGGCUGGGUGGCUGUGUUGGUUAGAUACAGCAGGUUGGCCGCCAAGUCCCACAGUCUCACGGCGGCAGCUCUGCCCCGAUACCAGGCCACCCACACGAUCCUCCUCUGCACCCCCUCCCCCCCCCGCACCCCCGAUCCGCACUGGUUGGAGCGCCUGUAUCUCGCUCUCCCAGCAGUUUCCUGGUCUCUGCCCCCACUUCCCCAGAGGCCCUCGCUCAGGGCUGACCUGCGAGCUGAGGCUUGGACUGCAGAGGAGACAAAGAGAAAGGCCGAGCGGGGGUGUGCACACGCCGCGUUGGACUGCGUGGGACAUCGUGUCACAGCGGGGGCUUUGCGUGUUGGGUUCUGCCGUGUUGGGAGCUAGGAAGACCUCCGACGCCUGCCUGACUUGCUUUGAGGUGUUGACAAUGAUCACAUCAGUUCUAAUAUCAGCCGUUCAAACAGAAUGAAAUGGGCCAGAAAUGAUAGCAGCAGCAACAACAUUUUAACUGGAGGCAAAGUUGGGGGUUGGGAAAAAAAGUAUGUUGCUUAGGAACUGGCUAGAAAUGCUAGACUUCAGUAGGUCCAUAUGCAUAUUGACUGCUUGGCUGAGACAGCUAUGCCUUCCAUUAACAGGGUCGGCAGGACAUCAGAAAAAUUCCCAGCAGAUUUAAGGAGGAACAAGAGGUCAAUAUGCAGGCGGUGGAGCAAAGAGUGGACAAUAGGACUGUGAUCUCCAAACGGAUCAUCUGGAUUACUGCUGGACACAAUCGCUGUGGCUAGACUGAUCACACGUGGAGGAUCCAGGCCAUCACAUGUGCUCAAGGAAUGAACUGGAAUUUCAACUUAGGACAAGCGGCGUUGACCUCGCCGGGGAGCUGUUGACCCUCUUCCCUUCCUCUGACACUGAGCCAUGCCUGCAAUCAAGCCAGCCAAUCAGAUGCCACGUGAUCCUGUCCUCUGGUAGGAGCUUCAGCAAAAAUUCCGAUGGCUGCGGUGUCCAUGACGACGGCGGGUCCGUGUUACAGGCCUGUGUGGCUGCGGCAGCAUCUUCUGCCCAAAGCGGCGUGCCCCCACCCAGCGACCACCCACAGUCUGGUGAGGUGGGGGUUUCAUUAAGUCUCUGAGAGAAAGGAGAAGAGGGACGACUGCCCUAACAUGUCCAAGGGGAAUUCCACCAGGAAGGUGUGUUUGUGGAAACACCAAGGAUAUUAUAGUUAUGAUUUCUUUAGUUUUUAUUUUUAUAUUUUCAUUUGAAAUCCAGUUUAGUUUUCAUUAGUUUUCAGUGUAGUUUUAUUAGUUUUUACAUCAAAUAUAUAUUUAUUUUUAGGUUUUAUUUAUUUUAGUUUCAGUUUAUGUCUUAGUAAUUUUAUUUCUAGGGAUAUAGUGAAAGUUAUGGACCUAUUUUAUGUGUCCGAUCUGUGUCUGAGAGAAUCCUACAAGAAUACACAGAGCACUAAGCAGGGUGGCAUCUGAAAUGCUGAUGAGGGAUGUCAGAGAAACCGCCAUCCAGAAGUGACUCCGGCUCCACAUUUUAAAGUCCACAAGGGCCCCACAAUGGAGCAGGGGAUCAUGAGCGCCGAUGAGUCUGCGAGACUUAAGGGCUGCAUCCUAAGGGAUGAGCUCCAGAGAACCAAAAUGAGCAGAUGGGAGAGGGGAGAACGCAGACUGCUGGAAGAACGUCUCCAGUCUCUGAAGACCCAAAACUUCAAGUACCAUUUGUUUCAUUCACACAACUCAUUCAUUAACAGAGAUCUUACAGUGGAGUGAAAACUAACAGCUGCAGAUCAGCUCUACGUGGGGCAAUAACCCAAACCACACAAGCCUACUGAGAUGUUUCCUAAUAUCAUUUAAUACUGCAUGAAUUCCAAUUUAAUGGCUUAAUGUAAUGAUGCACCAAGGGAAAUGUCAUAGAAAUAGGUUAAUCCCCUUGAUAAUUUGUGCCUAUGAGAUAUUCUCCCUAUUGAAAAUGGUCACCCAUGUGAAUUAAUUAAGAACAAAGCUCAUCUUCGGUUUUCGAUUAUUCUUUCUCAUUUGUUCUUUUCAAACAUUAAAUUAUGACCCUAACUGGACUUCCAA
Non-coding RNA from Paramormyrops kingsleyae, 2482 nucleotides. The record is from RefSeq and is a predicted model, not a curated record. Lineage: Eukaryota; Metazoa; Chordata; Actinopteri; Osteoglossiformes; Mormyridae.